This 483-nucleotide ribosomal RNA is filed under the name uncultured bacterium. Its description in RNAcentral is "partial 16S ribosomal RNA". It matches the Rfam family "Bacterial small subunit ribosomal RNA", at positions 28 to 523 of the family's 1533-position model. The record is from RNAcentral.
GACGAACGCUGGCGGCGUGCUUAACACAUGCAAGUCGAACGAUGAAGCUGGAGCUUGCUCCGGUGGAUUAGUGGCGAACGGGUGAGUAACACGUGAGCAAUCUGCCCUUGACUCUGGGAUAACUGCGGGAAACUGUAGCUAAUACCGGAUACGAGACUUGGAGGCAUCUCCAGGUCUGGAAAGAAUUUCGGUCAAGGAUGAGCGCGCGGCCUAUCAGCUAGUUGGUGAGGUAAUGGCUCACCAAGGCGACGACGGGUAGCCGGCCUGAGAGGGUGACCGGCCACACUGGGACUGAGACACGGCCCAGACUCCUACGGGAGGCAGCAGUGGGGAAUAUUGCACAAUGGGCGAAAGCCUGAUGCAGCAACGCAGCGUGAGGGAUGAAGGCCUUCGGGUUGUAAACCUCUUUUAGCAGGGAAGAAGCGAAAGUGACGGUACCUGCAGAAAAAGCACCGGCUAACUACGUGCCAGCCGCCGCAGUAA